GACGAACGCUGGCGGCGUGCCUAAUACAUGCAAGUCGAACGAACCGCGACUAGGUGCUUGCACUUGGUCAAGGUGAGUGGCGAACGGGUGAGUAACACGUGGGUAACCUACCUCAUAGUGGGGGAUAACAGUCGGAAACGACUGCUAAUACCGCAUAGGACAUAGGAUCACAUGAUCCAGUGAGGAAAGGUGGCGCCAGCUAUCGCUACGAGAUGGAUCCGCGGUGCUUUAGUUAGUUGGUAGGGUAAAGGCCUACCAAGGCGAUGAUGCAUAGCCGACCUGAGAGGGUGAUCGGCCAAAUUGGGACUGAGACACGGCCCAAACUCCUACGGGAGGCAGCAGUAGGGAAUCUUCCGCAAUGGACGCAAGUCUGACGGAGCAACGCCGCGUGAGUGAAGAAGGUCUUCGGAUCGUAAAGCUCUGUUGUUAGAGAAGAACAGCGCAUAGAGUAACUGUUAUGCGUGUGACGGUAUCUAACCAGAAAGCCACGGCUAACUACGUG
This 502-nucleotide ribosomal RNA is filed under the name uncultured bacterium. Its description in RNAcentral is "partial 16S ribosomal RNA". It matches the Rfam family "Bacterial small subunit ribosomal RNA", at positions 28 to 507 of the family's 1533-position model. The record is from RNAcentral.